RNAcentral lists this ribosomal RNA (468 nucleotides) under Gyrothrix verticillata. RNAcentral describes it as "eukaryotic LSU rRNA". The stretch from base 165 to 318 matches the Rfam family "5.8S ribosomal RNA". The record is from RNAcentral. Lineage: Eukaryota; Fungi; Ascomycota; Sordariomycetes; Xylariales; Gyrothricaceae.
UUUCAACUCCAAACCCCAUGUGAACAUACCAUUGUUGCCUCGGCGGAACAGACCUACCCCGGGACCUACCCGGUAGCUACCCUGUAGCUGCGGGUCUGCCCGCCGGCGGAUUACAAACUCUUGUUUUUACGUAACACUUCUGAGUAUACUAUAAAAUAAGUCAAAACUUUCAACAACGGAUCUCUUGGUUCUGGCAUCGAUGAAGAACGCAGCGAAAUGCGAUAAGUAAUGUGAAUUGCAGAAUUCAGUGAAUCAUCGAAUCUUUGAACGCACAUUGCGCCCAUUAGUAUUCUAGUGGGCAUGCCUGUUCGAGCGUCAUUACAACCCUUAAGCCUAGCUGCUUAGCGUUGGGAACUUAGCCUCUAAAGCUAACUCCUUAAAGACAUUGGCAGAGUUGCGGCAUACUCUAAGCGUAGUAAUUCAUUCUCGCUUCUGAAGGUGUCGUGACGAUCGCCACAAACCUCUAUA